AUUGAACGCUGGCGGCAGGCCUAACACAUGCAAGUCGGGCGGUAACAGGAAUCAGCUUGCUGAUUCGCUGACGAGCGGCGGACGGGUGAGUAAUGUCUGGGAAACUGCCUGAUGGGGGGGGAUAACUACUGGAAACGGUAGCUAAUACCGCAUAACGUCUACGGACCAAAGCGGGGGACCUUCGGGCCUCAAGCCAGCCGAUGUGCCAAGAUGGGAUUAGCUAGUAGGUGGGCUAACGGCUCACCUAGGCGACGAUCCCUAGCUGGUCUGAGAGGAUGACCAGCAACACUGGAACUGAGACACGGUCCAGACUCCUACGGGAGGCAGCAGUGGGGAAUAUUGCACAAUGGGCGCAAGCCUGAUGCAGCCAUGCCGCGUGUAUGAAGAAGGCCUUCGGGUUGUAAAGUACUUUCAGCGGGGAGGAAGGUGUUGUGGUUAAUAACCGCAGCAAUUGACGUUACCCGCAGAAGAAGCACCGGCUAACUCCGUGCCAGCAGCCGCGGUAA
RNAcentral lists this ribosomal RNA (506 nucleotides) under uncultured bacterium. Its description in RNAcentral is "partial 16S ribosomal RNA". It matches the Rfam family "Bacterial small subunit ribosomal RNA", at positions 30 to 523 of the family's 1533-position model. The record is from RNAcentral.